GCGCACCUCUCCCCUGCUCACAUGACGCCUUUCUGUGCGCUCCCUCUCCUCUCAGCGCUCAAUCCCGGCGAGUGCAGGCAUCACUGAAGACCUGACACCGGCGGAAUCGGACGUCCACUGUCCUCGGCAGAAUUAACCAGGUGUUAUCUUAUGCAAACUUUAUCGCCGUCAGAUGAAGAUGACCAUCCCGGCGAUGAGGAUGAGCGCGCUUCGGCGGAGGAGCAGACUUUUUUCCGUCUCCAAACGAGCGGAGAGGCGCAGGGGCGAGACAAUAACGCCCAGAAGUUAUUGAAAUGAAUCGAGCUGGCAUAAGAAGAAGAAACAAAAGGGGCGCUAGCAGCGUUAGCCUUGACCACAGAGGGAAGCACGGGAAGCAGAAGAGCAAACGAGGAAAACACAAGAGCGAUGAAAGAGAGGUCCAGACAUGAAGGAGGCACGCAUUCACAGACACACGUACAACGGCACCUAGAGUCUGUCUGCGGUCUACACCACCCUGCCACACACACACAUAUACACACACAAACACACACACAUGCCUGUUACGGUAAGAAUCAGAGACCACCGAGUUAGGGGGACAAUAAUAGUGUGAAUGUGAGAAAACAAACUCAUUAUCCACUGCUAUUUUCUCCUCUGAGUAAUUUAAAGACAAAUUGACUACUUGGAUUCCAAAGUGCUCUAAAUUCAGUAAUUAAAUAAAUAAAAUAAGAAUAUAAAAUAAAUUAGCUAAAUUCAGUCAUUUAACUUCUGAAAAGUAGUUUCUCGGUGCUGGUAAAUAAACAAUGAAAAGAACGUCUUUCAAUCAAA
Epinephelus moara (kelp grouper) is the source of this 804-nucleotide long non-coding RNA. RefSeq lists it as uncharacterized. NCBI's taxonomy places the organism in Eukaryota, Metazoa, Chordata, Actinopteri, Perciformes, Serranidae. The transcript is spliced from 3 exons. The record is from RefSeq and is a predicted model, not a curated record.